CCCUCGAUAGCUCAGUUGGCAGAGCGGAGGGCUGUAGAUGUUAAACUGUGAUCCUUAGGUAGCUGGUUCAUAUCCGGCUCGAGGGA
RNAcentral lists this transfer RNA (86 nucleotides) under Cordylochernes scorpioides. Its description in RNAcentral is "tRNA-Tyr". It matches the Rfam family "tRNA". From Rfam's summary of the family: Transfer RNA (tRNA) molecules are approximately 80 nucleotides in length. Their secondary structure includes four short double-helical elements and three loops (D, anti-codon, and T loops). The record is from RNAcentral. Lineage: Eukaryota; Metazoa; Arthropoda; Arachnida; Pseudoscorpiones; Chernetidae.